UACGGAGGGUGCAAGCGUUAUCCGGAUUCACUGGGUUUAAAGGGUGCGUAGGUGGGGUGGUAAGUCAGUGGUGAAAUCUCCAAGCUUAACUUGGAAACUGCCGUUGAUACUAUCAUUCUUGAAUAUCGUGGAGGUAAGCGGAAUAUGUCAUGUAGCGGUGAAAUGCUUAGAUAUGACAUAGAACACCGAUUGCGAAGGCAGCUGGCUAUACGAGUAUUGACACUGAGGCACGAAAGCGUGGGGAUCAAACAGG
RNAcentral lists this ribosomal RNA (253 nucleotides) under uncultured bacterium. RNAcentral's name for it is "partial 16S ribosomal RNA". It matches the Rfam family "Bacterial small subunit ribosomal RNA", at positions 524 to 776 of the family's 1533-position model. The record is from RNAcentral.